AUUGAACGCUGGCGGCAGGCCUAACACAUGCAAGUCGAACGAGUGGCGGACGGGUGAGUAAUGUCUGGGAAACUGCCUGAGGGAGGGGGAUAACUACUGGAAACGGUAGCUAAUACCGCAUACCAUCGGAUGAGCCCAGAUGGGAUUAGCUAGUAGGGGGGGUAACGGCGCACCUAGGCGACGAUCCCUAGCUGGUCUGAGAGGAUGACCAGCCACACUGGAACUGAGACCCGUUCCAGACUCCUACGGGAGGCAGCAGGGGGGAAUAUUCAACAAUGGGCGCAAGCCUGAUGCAGCCAUGCCGCGUGUAUGAUGAAGGCCUUCGGGUUGUAAAGUACUUUCAGCGGGGAGGCGUUACCCGCAGAAGAAGCACCGGCUAACUCCGUGCCAGCAGCCGCGGUAAUAC
This 406-nucleotide ribosomal RNA is filed under the name uncultured bacterium. RNAcentral's name for it is "partial 16S ribosomal RNA". It matches the Rfam family "Bacterial small subunit ribosomal RNA", at positions 30 to 526 of the family's 1533-position model. The record is from RNAcentral.